GAUGAACGCUGACAGAAUGCUUAACACAUGCAAGUCAACUUGAACUUCGGUUUGGGUGGCGGACGGGUGAGUAACGCGUACAGAACUUGCCUCACAGUUAGGGACAACAUUUGGAAACGGAUGCUAAUACCUGAUAUUAUGAUUUUAGGGCAUCCUAGAAUUAUGAAAGCUAUAUGCGCUGUGAGAGAGCUUUGCGUUCCAUUAGCUAGUUGGAGAGGUAACGGCUCACCAAGGCGAUGAUGGGUAGCCGGCCUGGGAGGGUGAACGGCCACAAGGGGACUGGGACACGACCCUUACGCAAUCGGGAGGCAGGAGUGGGGAAUAUUGGAAGCUGGACCAAGUGUCUGAUCAAGCACUUCUGUGUGCACGAUGAAGUUUUUCGGAAUGUAAAGUGCUUUCAGUUGGGAGGAAAAAAAUGACGGUACCAACAGAAGAAGUGACGGCUAAAUACGUG
Molecule: ribosomal RNA, 454 nt
Filed under: uncultured bacterium
Lineage: Bacteria
Description: partial 16S ribosomal RNA
Rfam family: Bacterial small subunit ribosomal RNA
Source: RNAcentral